This is a long non-coding RNA of Nanorana parkeri, 122 nucleotides long. RefSeq lists it as uncharacterized. The transcript is spliced from 3 exons. Lineage: Eukaryota; Metazoa; Chordata; Amphibia; Anura; Dicroglossidae. The record is from RefSeq and is a predicted model, not a curated record.
AAUAUAUGCACAUUCCUAUGGCCAUGAACUCUGCCUUAACCAAAUAGAGAUCCAAGUGCAUCUGUGGUGUUACUGAAGUUCAGGAUCGUAUGAAUGCGUACGGACUCCUUUCUUCUCUUUUU